CUCGACCAAUCAUGAGAGGUCCAGCCUGCCCAGUGACCCUGUUCAACGGCCGCGGUAUCCUAACCGUGCGAAGGUAGCGUAAUCACUUGUUCUUUAAAUAAGGACUAGUAUGAAAGGCACCACGAGGGUUGUACUGUCUCCUUUCUCUAAUCAGUGAAACUAAUCUCCCCGUGAAGAAGCGGGGAUAAAAAUAUAAGACGAGAAGACCCUAUGGAGCUUUAAACUAUAUAAUAUUAGCUUACUUAUUUACACAUUUCAGAAAAAUACUAUACCCUAGCUUUAUAAUUAUUAGUUUUUGGUUGGGGUGACCACGGAGAAAAAAGAAACCUCCGCAAUGAAAGACUCUCCUCCUUAGUUCUAGGACUACUUUCCUACACAUCAAUAAAUUGACAUCUAUUGACCCAACAACGUUGACCAAUGAAC
This 423-nucleotide ribosomal RNA is filed under the name Lithodytes lineatus group sp. ABGD cluster 5. RNAcentral describes it as "partial large subunit ribosomal RNA". It matches the Rfam family "Bacterial large subunit ribosomal RNA", at positions 1834 to 2457 of the family's 2925-position model. The record is from RNAcentral. Lineage: Eukaryota; Metazoa; Chordata; Amphibia; Anura; Leptodactylidae.